RNAcentral lists this ribosomal RNA (424 nucleotides) under uncultured eukaryote. RNAcentral's name for it is "eukaryotic LSU rRNA". It matches the Rfam family "Eukaryotic large subunit ribosomal RNA", at positions 2166 to 2571 of the family's 3401-position model. The record is from RNAcentral.
UGUUUUCGUAGAUUAUGACGCAAUGUGAUUUCUGCCCAGUGCUUUGAAUGUUAAAGUGAAGAAAUUCAACUAAGCGCAGGUAAACGGCGGGAGUAACUAUGACUCUCUUAAGUUAGCCAAAUGCCUCGUCUUCUAAUUAAAGACGCGCAUGAAUGGAUUAACGAGAUUCUCACUGUCCCUAUCUACUAUCUAGCGAAACCACAGCUAAGGGAACGGGCUUAGCAUUAUCAGCGGGGAAAGAAGACCCUGUUGAGCUUGACUCUAGUCAGACAUUGAGAAAUGACAUGUAGAAUAUAGCAUAGGUGGGAGAGAUUUAAAUAAAAUUUAUUUUAUUAGUAUUCGACUUUGAAAUACCACUGUCUUCAUUGUUGUUUUUCUAUUUAAUAAGGUAAAACAAAGACCUAUUCUAAAUACUAGUAUUUAG